RNAcentral lists this non-coding RNA (29 nucleotides) under Rattus norvegicus (Norway rat). Lineage: Eukaryota; Metazoa; Chordata; Mammalia; Rodentia; Muridae. The record is from RNAcentral.
UGCAUCAGCAGUUUGACUAUGUCCUUGAA